Molecule: ribosomal RNA, 466 nt
Filed under: uncultured bacterium
Lineage: Bacteria
Description: partial 16S ribosomal RNA
Rfam family: Bacterial small subunit ribosomal RNA
Source: RNAcentral
GAUGAACGCUGGCGGCGUGCUUAACACAUGCAAGUCGAACGAUGAAGCCCAGCUUGCUGGGUGGAUUAGUGGCGAACGGGUGAGUAACACGUGAGUAACCUGCCCUUAACUCUGGGAUAAGCCUGGGAAACUGGGUCUAAUACCGGAUAGGAGCGUCCACCGCAUGGUGGGUGUUGGAAAGAUUUAUCGGUUUUGGAUGGACUCGCGGCCUAUCAGCUUGUUGGUGAGGUAAUGGCUCACCAAGGCGACGACGGGUAGCCGGCCUGAGAGGGUGACCGGCCACACUGGGACUGAGAAACGGCCCAGACUCCUACGGGAGGCAGCAGUGGGGAAUAUUGCAAAAUGGGCGGAAGCAUGAUGCAGCGACGCCGCGUGAGGGAUGACGGCCUUCGGGUUGUAAACCUCUUUCAGUAGGGAAGAAGCGAAAGUGACGGUACCUGCAGAAGAAGCACCGGCUAACUACGUG